Molecule: non-coding RNA, 87 nt
Organism: Gossypium raimondii (Peruvian cotton)
Lineage: Eukaryota; Viridiplantae; Streptophyta; Magnoliopsida; Malvales; Malvaceae
Source: Rfam
CUCCAGGAAGCGAUUUGUCCACGUGGAUAGAAAACGCGUCCUCGAGGGCGCGCUUUGUGUCCAUGUGGACAAAGCACUUCCUUGAGG